RNAcentral lists this ribosomal RNA (315 nucleotides) under uncultured eukaryote. Its description in RNAcentral is "partial 18S ribosomal RNA". It matches the Rfam family "Eukaryotic small subunit ribosomal RNA", at positions 1470 to 1796 of the family's 1831-position model. The record is from RNAcentral.
CCCUUAGAUGUUCUGGGCUGCACGCGCGCUACACUGACGCACGCAACAGGUGCCUGCUCCGAGAGGACUGGGUAAUCAUUUGAGUGUGCGUCGUGAUGGGGAUAGAAUAUUGUAAUUAUUACUCUUCAACGAGGAAUUCCUAGUAAGCGCCAGUCAGCAGCUUGCGCUGAUUACGUCCCUGCCCUUUGUACACACCGCCCGUCGCUCCUACCGAUGGGUGAUCGGGUGAAUGAUUCGGACUUCAGCGGCUCCCCUGGGGUGCGCCGGAGAAAGUUUUGUGAACCUUAUCACUUGGAGGAAGGAGAAGUCGUAACA